AUGCUCACGCAAGGACUGUGGGCAGCCCUGGAGCCCGCGGGGGGCGUGCAGGGGUGGGUCGGGGUGGGAAGGGCCCCUCUCCCGCCCCAACAGCCCCGAGUCCCCGCUUCCCCUCUCCCCAUCCAGACGGGCUGGGACAAAACCCAACCAAAACCAAACACACCAAAAACAUUGAGAAGAGUCCCCGGAAUCUUCCUGAGACCUCCCGGGGCUGUGAUCAGCCCUUCUCAGCCCGUGACCAGGGGCCGGGCUGGGCGGUGCCCCUGUGAGGACUGUCCCCGCCGUGGAGGGUCUGGCCCCAACGCUCCUGACCCUGGGGACCGCUUGGGGUCACUGCGACCUCAGCUGGGACGUUGGCGAUGGCCGUGCUGUCGGAGUCCAGGACUGACCCACAGCCUCGGGUGCUGGGGCUCGGGCCCUGGCCGGGCCCAGGGGUGCUGUGCUGCGCGAGCUCGUGCCCAUCGCCCGCCUCUCGCUCGUGCCCUGGGCCCUGCGUCUGCGCCCUUGGCCCGCCCAGUGCACCCGGCCUCCGCCGCGACUCGACGCUUCACGCCAGGAAGGUGGCCCCUCCGGGGAGGCCGCCUGGGCACCCACCCCUGCCCCGGGAGCCGCAGCAGGACAGGACGCCCCCCGCCCGCAGCCCCCGCGACACCCGCCCGCGGGCGGAACUGGAUGAGCCCGCGGAAAUUACAGGCUGAGCAGCGUGUUGAACGGCGUCCAACUGCGCCGACAAUGCAGCAGCUGUCCCCGCGCCGCUGCCCAGGGCCGGGGGCAGGACGCUGCUCUGUGGCCGCGGGAGCCUGUCCCGACCCCUCUGUGGCCGCGGCGCGUCCUGCCCUCCGGCCAGCCCGCGGCAGGUCCUCAUGCUCCCCGGCGACACUCCGGCUUGGUCCCGGGAGCUGCCCGGCCCCGCUGCCCCCUGCGCCGCCAGGCUGUGGCCCCUGCAAACUGGCCUUCCGGAACGUGCCGCACCCACGCCACCCCAGGGGGCUGCAUCGGGGCCCGCUGGCAGGGGUGCGUGGACCGGGGGUCGCGUGA
RNAcentral lists this long non-coding RNA (1038 nucleotides) under Canis lupus dingo (dingo). RNAcentral's name for it is "lncRNA (ENSCAFG00020019955.1)". The record is from RNAcentral. Lineage: Eukaryota; Metazoa; Chordata; Mammalia; Carnivora; Canidae.